AUUGAACGCUGGCGGCAUGCCUUACACAUGCAAGUCGAACGGUAACGGGCCUUCGGGUGCCGACGAGUGGCGAACGGGUGAGUAAUGCAUCGGAACGUACCUUUCAGUGGGGGAUAACGUAGCGAAAGUUACGCUAAUACCGCAUAUUCUGUGAGCAGGAAAGCAGGGGAUCGCAAGACCUUGCGCUGAUUGAGCGGCCGAUGUCAGAUUAGCUAGUUGGUGAGGUAAAGGCUCACCAAGGCGACGAUCUGUAGCGGGUCUGAGAGGAUGAUCCGCCACACUGGAACUGAGACACGGUCCAGACUCCUACGGGAGGCAGCAGUGGGGAAUUUUGGACAAUGGGGGCAACCCUGAUCCAGCCAUGCCGCGUGAGUGAAGAAGGCCUUCGGGUUGUAAAGCUCUUUCAGACGGAAAGAAAACGCAUCGGUGAAUACCCGGUGUGGAUGACGGUACCGUAAGAAGAAGCACCGGCUAACUACGUGCCAGCAGCCGCGGU
Molecule: ribosomal RNA, 496 nt
Filed under: uncultured bacterium
Lineage: Bacteria
Description: bacterial SSU rRNA
Rfam family: Bacterial small subunit ribosomal RNA
Source: RNAcentral